This 252-nucleotide unclassified non-coding RNA is filed under the name uncultured fungus. Its description in RNAcentral is "partial contains 5.8S ribosomal RNA, internal transcribed spacer 2, and large subunit ribosomal RNA". The record is from RNAcentral. Lineage: Eukaryota; Fungi.
AACGCACAUUGCGCCCCCUGGCAUUCCGGGGGGCACACCUGUUCGAGCGCCAUUUCGACCCUCAAGCAUAGCUUGGUGUUGGGCUUGGUCCCGUGGGGACCUGCCCGUAACUCGUAGGCGGCUGUCGCCCGCGCCCCCAGUGUAGCAAGCUCACGCGUUCGCUCGGGGACGGCGCGUCUGGCCCGCCAGGCAAAACCCAAACCCUUCCCAAGGUUUGGCCUCGGAUCAGGUGGGGAUACCCGCUGAACUUAA